This 395-nucleotide ribosomal RNA is filed under the name uncultured bacterium. Its description in RNAcentral is "bacterial SSU rRNA". It matches the Rfam family "Bacterial small subunit ribosomal RNA", at positions 28 to 407 of the family's 1533-position model. The record is from RNAcentral.
GAUGAACGCUGGCGGCGUGCCUAACACAUGCAAGUCGAACGAAGCACUGAAAACGGAGAUUCGUCGAAGUUUUCUUUGACUUAGUGGCGGACGGGUGAGUAAUGCGUGAGCAACCUGCCUUUCAGAGGGGGACAACAGUUGGAAACGACUGCUAAUACCGCAUAACAUAUUCGGAUCGCAUGGUCUGAAUAUCAAAGAUUUAUCGCUGAAAGAUGGGCUCACGUCUGAUUAGCUAGUUGGUGAGGUAACGGCUCACCAAGGCUGCGAUCGGUAGCCGGACUGAGAGGUUGAACGGCCACAUUGGGACUGAGAUACGGCCCAGACUCCUACGGGAGGCAGCAGUGGGGAAUAUUGGGCAAUGGGCGAAAGCCUGACCCAGCAACGCCGCGUGAAGG